RNAcentral lists this ribosomal RNA (388 nucleotides) under uncultured bacterium. Its description in RNAcentral is "bacterial SSU rRNA". It matches the Rfam family "Bacterial small subunit ribosomal RNA", at positions 28 to 417 of the family's 1533-position model. The record is from RNAcentral.
GACGAACGCUGGCGGCGUGCUUAACACAUGCAAGUCGAGCGGUAAGGCCCUUUCGGGGGUACACGAGCGGCGAACGGGUGAGUAACACGUGGGUGACCUGCCCUCAGCUCUGGGAUAAGCCUGGGAAACUGGGUCUAAUACUGGAUAUGACUCCACGGUGCAUGUCGUGGGGUGGAAAGCCUUGUGCGGCUGAGGAUGGGCCCGCGGCCUAUCAGCUUGUUGGUGGGGUGACGGCCUACCAAGGCGACGACGGGUAGCCGGCCUGAGAGGGCGACCGGCCACACUGGGACUGAGACACGGCCCAGACUCCUACGGGAGGCAGCAGUGGGGAAUCUUGCGCAAUGGGCGAAAGCCUGACGCAGCGACGCCGCGUGAGGGAUGACGGCCU